RNAcentral lists this ribosomal RNA (253 nucleotides) under uncultured bacterium. RNAcentral describes it as "partial 16S ribosomal RNA". It matches the Rfam family "Bacterial small subunit ribosomal RNA", at positions 524 to 776 of the family's 1533-position model. The record is from RNAcentral.
UACGUAGGGAGCAAGCGUUGUCCGGAAUCAUUGGGCGUAAAGCGCGCGUAGGUGGCCCCGUAAGUCCGCUGUGAAAGUCAAAGGCUCAACCUUUGAAAGCCGGUGGAUACUGUGGGACUAGAGUACGGAAGAGGCGAGUGGAAUUCCUGGUGUAGCGGUGGAAUGCGCAGAUAUCAGGAGGAACACCAAUAGCGAAGGCAGCUCGCUGGGACGUUACUGACACUGAGGCGCGAAAGCGUGGGGAGCGAACAUG